AGGUGUCCUUCCUCACGUCACUGUGGAACCAUCCGUUCUUCACGAUUAGCUGUAUAACGCUGAUAGGCUUGUUCUUUGCUGGAAUACACAAAAGAGUAGUCGCACCAUCAAUUAUAGCUGCUCGAUGUCGAACGGUAUUAGCAGAAUACAAUAUGUCUUGUGAUGACACAGGAAAGCUAAUUUUGAAACCUAGACCUCAUGUUCAAUGACAGUCUGCACUAUUGUAAGGGAACCUAAACCAGUCUUUCCUCAAGUAAGUGAUACCGCAGAAUACCAUAAAGGAUUUCUUUUAGAGUUGGACAUGUGACGGUUUAGCAGCAACUGACAAGAAGCGUGCAAUACUUGCCCAGAUGAUCUUGACGAUGCUGGCCGAGCUCUUGGCGCCUCAGUACCUUUGAUUACCUGUGUUCAGUAUUAGUGUCACUUCAGCACUUCAGCCCCUGCACAGAACUCUGCAGAUGAAGUUUGUGUGUAUUACUAAG
This 482-nucleotide long non-coding RNA is filed under the name Rattus norvegicus (Norway rat). RNAcentral describes it as "long non-coding RNA NONRATT014520". Lineage: Eukaryota; Metazoa; Chordata; Mammalia; Rodentia; Muridae. The record is from RNAcentral.